This 506-nucleotide ribosomal RNA is filed under the name uncultured bacterium. Its description in RNAcentral is "partial 16S ribosomal RNA". It matches the Rfam family "Bacterial small subunit ribosomal RNA", at positions 30 to 523 of the family's 1533-position model. The record is from RNAcentral.
AUUGAACGCUGGCGGCAGGCCUAACACAUGCAAGUCGAACGGUAACAGGAAGAAGCUUGCUUCUUUGCUGACGAGUGGCGGACGGGUGAGUAAUGUCUGGGAAACUGCCUGAUGGAGGGGGAUAACUACUGGAAACGGUAGCUAAUACCGCAUAACGUCGCAAGACCAAAGAGGGGGAACUUCGGGCCUCUUGCCAUCGGAUGUGCCCAGAUGGGAUUAGCGAGUAGGUGGGGUAACGGCUCACCUAGGCGACGAUCCCUAGCUGGUCUGAGAGGAGGACCAGCCACACUGGAACUAAGACACGGACCAGAAGCCUACGGGAGGCAGCAGUGGGGAAUAUUGCACAAUGGGCGAAAGCCUGAUGCAGCCAUUCGGCGUGUAUGAAGAAGGCCUUCGGGUUGUAAAGUACUUUCAGCGGGGAGGAAGGUGUUGUGGUUAAUAACCGCAGCAAUUGACGUUACCCGCAGAAGAAGCACCGGCUAACUCCGUGCCAGCCGCCGCCGUAA